Molecule: ribosomal RNA, 253 nt
Filed under: uncultured bacterium
Lineage: Bacteria
Description: partial 16S ribosomal RNA
Rfam family: Bacterial small subunit ribosomal RNA
Source: RNAcentral
UACGUAGGGGGCGAGCGUUGUCCGGAUUUAUUGGGCGUAAAGAGCGUGUAGGCGGCCAGGUAGGUCCGUUGUGAAAACUCGAGGCUCAACCUCGAGACGUCGGCGGAAACCCUCUGGCUAGAGUCCGGAAGAGGAGAGUGGAAUUCCUGGUGUAGCGGUGAAAUGCGCAGAUAUCAGGAGGAACACCCGUGGCUAAGGCGGCUCUCUAGUACGUGACUGACGCUGAGACGCGAAAGCGUGGGGAGCGAACAGG